CCUUUGCAGGCAAUCAAAGGUGACAUCCUAUUUCUUUUCCAAGAAAUUAUUUGUCAUAAUAGGGAACCGGGUGAGAAUCCCGGAUAGUACCCGCUGCUGUAAACUCUAAAAAGUUUUAUGCUUACGCUGGAUGCUCAAUCCGGUAGCCACUGUUAAUCCUUUAAUUUAAAGAUAACGGGAAGGUGCAGAAAACGAGAGUAAGUCAGAAGACCUGCCUUUGAAUUUAUUUUUAU
Molecule: non-coding RNA, 233 nt
Filed under: Bacteroidota bacterium
Lineage: Bacteria; Pseudomonadati; Bacteroidota
Source: RNAcentral